Molecule: ribosomal RNA, 333 nt
Filed under: uncultured Leptolinea sp.
Lineage: Bacteria; Bacillati; Chloroflexota; Anaerolineae; Anaerolineales; Anaerolineaceae
Description: bacterial SSU rRNA
Rfam family: Bacterial small subunit ribosomal RNA
Source: RNAcentral
CACAGGUGCUGCAUGGCUGUCGUCAGCUCGUGUCGUGAGAUGUCGGUUAAGUCCGCUAACGAGCGCAACCCUCGCUGUGUGUUAUAUGUGUCACACGGGACUGCCGGUCUUAAGCCGGAGGAAGUGGGGAUGAUGUCAAGUCAGCAUGGCCUUUAUAUCCUGGGCUACACACACGCUACAAUGGCCAACACAAUAGGUUGCUAAGCCGCGAGGUGGCGCCAAUCCAUAAAGUUGGUCUCAGUUCAGAUUGUAGGCUGCAACCCGCCUGCAUGAAGAUGGAGUUGCUAGUAACCGCAGGUCAGCUAUACUGCGGUGAAUACGUUCCCGGGGCUU